RNAcentral lists this long non-coding RNA (338 nucleotides) under Brassica napus (rape). RNAcentral's name for it is "long non-coding RNA (BNAP_LNC024949)". Lineage: Eukaryota; Viridiplantae; Streptophyta; Magnoliopsida; Brassicales; Brassicaceae. The record is from RNAcentral.
UGUUUUUUCUCUUCAGUGAUUUAAAGACCUUCACAAGAAUUGUCAAAACCAAAAGGAUAGAGAGAGGUUACCGGGUCUGAGCUGCAGCCUCAGUAGCAGCAAAGAGAUGCUCCUCUUUAGAUCUGCCUCUGCCUCCAGAACUUGUUGAUCUGUUUAUGGGUUAUGAUGUCUCCCUCAACCUCUCUUGAUUCAUAUCUUGGAGAUGGUGGAAGCAAUGGAGGAUGAGGCACCAAUCACUUCAAACUCAAAUUCUCAUACUCAUCCAUUAUCUGCUUUUUCAUAUUCCCACCAAGAACUUCAGCAUCACCAGAUACAACCAAAAGAUGGCACAUAGAUGC